CAGUCAAAACAUGCUUCCUAAUGAUGAUGCAAACCUCUGGUUCUUCGGUUCCGAACCGGCGUAGAGUCAGAGGAUGCUGCAGCAGCAAAGCACCUAAACCUGCGAGGAUCAUGAUCAGAUGUUCAUCUUAUCCUUCAUCCAGCUUCGAGAACCCGGUUGAGGGGAUAGUUUGUUACACAGAUGCAAGAACAGGGGAGGUUGUUUGCGAAGGUUACGACGAAGGGCCUCGUUUCGAGCACCACCACCACCGGCGGCAGCAGCAGCAGAUUCCUCUGGCUGCUGCUGCAUACAGACAUCAUUCAACAAGGUCUGAUGAUCAUCUGUUUAUACUAUAUGCUGUAUGAUUAAUUACCGUUGUAUUGGCUUUUAUAUUAUUCACCAACACCUCCCUCAAACAUUAGCUCGCUUGAGGAAUCACUAAGUCAUGUGCACGAGUUGCUGAUUACCAGAAUACGAAACGAAGAUUUCUCGGUCUUCGAAGGCUUUGAAACCCGUGUCAUAAACCGUUGCAUCUCAAUAACUCGAGUUGUUUAGAGGGGAUUCAAAUUGGGUUUUAGAGAAUAAGUGGAGAUAGAUAGACUUAAUUUUUGUUAUAGAAAAUGUAUUAGCAAAAUGAAAGUGCGAGAUAAUUGAAAUCUGUCAAUUCAAAAAUGAAAAAUAUCAAAAGACUCAUAAAUGACAAUAUGUGAGCUCAAAAUAAGCCUUUAUAAACUCAAAAUAAAGCCUUAAUAAACUCAAAAUAAAGUCUUAAUAAAUUCAAAAUAAAACCUUAAUAAAAUAAAGCUCUGAUAAGAAAAUCAAACAGUAUUUAUUCAAUAAUAAUUCAUAUUCUCCUUUUAUAUAUAAAACAUUCCAAUUUUGAUUUAUACAGCUAAUGUCAUUAGCACACGCAUUCUCAAACGAAAGCUCGAGAUUGAAGUUUGCACGGUCACACCAAACCUUGAGCGAGUGAAUCGGUCAUAUUAAGGGACUAACAUGAUCUAAUGUCAUGGUCAAAGGAUUCAAAUGGCACGUGAAGAACCCAUUUCUCAAUAACUCAAGUUGUUGGGAAAAAAAUUUAUAAUCGGUCUAUAUUCAUCGAUUGCUUUUACUAAUUGCAUAUAAAACAGGGAUGGGGAGAUAAUGAUGAACCUGCUUCAGCAGAGGCUGCUGCAGAUUGUUAAUGGCAAUGAUCAGUUUGAAGGUACUACAGCAGCAGCAGCAGCAGUAAUGCCCUUGCAAGAAGACCUUUCAAACUUUAAAUCAUAAUUAGAUUUUUAACUCUUUAAGUCUUAACCACUCUUACUGUCACCAUUUUCAUUGUACUUGCUUUGUUCAUACAACUUGUAUAUGAUGUUGAAGAUAAGGGAGUUUUAAUUUGUUUAAACUCUCAUCAUUUCCCUCCCCCUUUGGAAUCAGUGUUCAUAAACUACAGACACAUAAUAAUGAAAUAAUGUACCAUUUCAGUUUGAUCAUUGGAAUUGCAUCCUUGCGG
Molecule: long non-coding RNA, 1474 nt
Filed under: Linum usitatissimum (flax)
Lineage: Eukaryota; Viridiplantae; Streptophyta; Magnoliopsida; Malpighiales; Linaceae
Description: long non-coding RNA (LUSI_LNC004261)
Source: RNAcentral